GGGACCCUGCAUGGUGGGCAGUUUGACUGGGGCGGUCGCCUCCCAAAUUGUAACGGAGGCGCGCGAAGGUUGGCUCAGAGCGGUCGGAAAUCGCUCGUUGAGUGCAAUGGCAGAAGCCAGCCUGACUGCGAGACUGACAAGUCGAGCAGAGACGAAAGUCGGCCAUAGUGAUCCGGUGGUCCCGAGUGGGAGGGCCAUCGCUCAACGGAUAAAAGGUACGCCGGGGAUAACAGGCUGAUACUGCCCAAGAGUCCAUAUCGACGGCAGUGUUUGGCACCUCGAUGUCGGCUCAUCUCAUCCUGGG
RNAcentral lists this ribosomal RNA (304 nucleotides) under Pseudopedinella elastica. RNAcentral describes it as "partial Bacterial large subunit ribosomal RNA". It matches the Rfam family "Bacterial large subunit ribosomal RNA", at positions 2248 to 2551 of the family's 2925-position model. The record is from RNAcentral. Lineage: Eukaryota; Dictyochophyceae; Pedinellales.